GAUCUUCUUAGCCCGUCUUCUCAAGUCCCUGAGCACAGAAAUGGUCUCUGCUGUGUUCAAGAAGAAAAGGAAAUAUGGAAGAUAAAGAUGUCAGCAACAAACCUGGCAUUUGGUUGAAUGAUAUUUUAAAAGGGCUCAAGAACAAAUUGAUGCAAUUCCUAUCAUUCAUCAGCCCUAAGCCAGUUCAACGACCGCAUUAACAGUCAAAAAGGGUGGCUGUCUGUACAUCUCUCAGCACAUGCGUGGCUGCAGGUGGCUGUGGUUAUUGCACUUAGGGGAUGGCUGAAGCUAUGUGUGACUAUUUGGCUCGUGCCACUUCUCCAGCCUCUUCAAAGAUGGGCAGCAUGCAGGGGACACUGAUUCCUGACCAUGUCACAUUGAAGCCUCUUCGAUGUCUGGCGACAAACUGAGCCUAUAAUGGAGUCUGGAUUUUUACCUGUACUGCUUCAAUAUUUUGUUCCGAUGUCACUUUCCUGUGUAAAGAGAGUCUUCCAAGCAUCAAAAAAGGCAGUU
Mus musculus (house mouse) is the source of this 513-nucleotide long non-coding RNA. RefSeq annotates it as predicted gene, 31928. The record is from RefSeq and is a predicted model, not a curated record. NCBI's taxonomy places the organism in Eukaryota, Metazoa, Chordata, Mammalia, Rodentia, Muridae. The transcript is spliced from 3 exons.